CUUACGUUUGUCUUUGUCAGACUGGUAGCUGCUGGGCUGUGCUUUGGGCUGCUGCACUUAACCUUCUUCUUCAUGAGAAGCAGAGUAAAGGGGAAAGAAGGAUCCCCUUCAACAUACACAAAUACCAGGAACAUUGAAGAAGAGUCGUCUGUUUGAUGCAGACGACACACCACUGAUAACCACGGUAACCAAAACCCUACACUGAUUGGCCACAAAAGUACAAGACUAAAACCAGCCUAUGGGAAACACACUUCCUGGACUGGAAGUCCCGUCUCGUUUUCCAGAUUAUGUUUUCCUUAUGUUAUCAUGUAUUCUUCAUUUUUGUGUUUUGUUUGUUUUCUCAUCUCUCCU
Clupea harengus (Atlantic herring) is the source of this 351-nucleotide long non-coding RNA. RefSeq lists it as uncharacterized. The record is from RefSeq and is a predicted model, not a curated record. The transcript has 3 exons. Lineage: Eukaryota; Metazoa; Chordata; Actinopteri; Clupeiformes; Clupeidae.